GAUGAACGCUGGCGGCGUGCCUAAUACAUGCAAGUCGAGCGAACGGACGAGAAGCUUGCUUUUCUGAUGUUAGCGGCGGACGGGUGAGUAAUACGUGGAUAACCUACCUAUAAGACUGGGAUAACUUCGGGAAACCGGAGCUAAUACCGGAUAAUAUUUUGAACCGCAUGGUUCAAAAGUGAAAGACGGUCUUGCUGUCACUUAUAGAUGGAUCCGCGCUGCAUUAGCUAGUUGGUAAGGUAACGGCUUACCAAGGCAACGAUGCAUAGCCGACCUGAGAGGAUGAUCGGCCACACUGGAACUGAGACACGGUCCAGACUCUUACGGGAGGCAGCAGUAGGGAAUCUUCCACAAUGGGCGAAAGCCUGACGGAGCAACGCCGCGUGAGUGAUGAAGGUCUUCGGAUCGUAAAACUCUUUUAUUAGGGAAGAACAGAUGUGUAAGUAACUGUGCACAUCUUGACGGUACCUAAUCAGAAAGCCACGGCUAACUACGUG
Molecule: ribosomal RNA, 497 nt
Filed under: uncultured bacterium
Lineage: Bacteria
Description: partial 16S ribosomal RNA
Rfam family: Bacterial small subunit ribosomal RNA
Source: RNAcentral